AGCGAACGCUGGCGGCAGGCCUAACACAUGCAAGUCGAACGAACCUUUCGGGGUUAGUGGCGGACGGUUGAGUAACACGUGGGAACGUGCCUUUAGGUUCGGCAUAACUCAGGGAAACUUGUACUAAUACCGAAUGUGCCCUUCGGGGGAAAGAUUUAUCGCCUUUCGAGCGGCCCGCGUCUGAUUAGCUAGUUGGUUGAGGUAAUGGCUCACCAAGGCGACGAUCAGUAGCUGGUCUGAGAGGAUGAUCAGCCACAUUGGGACUGAGACACGGCCCAAACUCCUACGGGAGGCAGCAGUGGGGAAUCGUGCGAAAUGGGCGAAAGCCUGACGCAGCCAGGACGGGUGAAUGAUGAAGGUAUUAGGAUUGUAAAAUUCUUUUACCGGGGACGAUAAUGACGGUACCCGGAGAAGAAGCCCCGGCUAACUUCGUG
This 434-nucleotide ribosomal RNA is filed under the name uncultured bacterium. RNAcentral describes it as "partial 16S ribosomal RNA". It matches the Rfam family "Bacterial small subunit ribosomal RNA", at positions 29 to 507 of the family's 1533-position model. The record is from RNAcentral.